RNAcentral lists this unclassified non-coding RNA (726 nucleotides) under Hevea brasiliensis (rubber tree). The record is from RNAcentral. Lineage: Eukaryota; Viridiplantae; Streptophyta; Magnoliopsida; Malpighiales; Euphorbiaceae.
GGUAAUCCCAAGUUAAAAGAACUUAUAAUUAUUUAAGAUAUUAAAUGUGUAUCAACUGUAACAGAACAUUAAUACAUUUUCAAUUUGGAUAUCAUCAGCUGUAUGCACAUACAGCACAAGAACUCGAACAAUAAUAAAGUAAAUAGCCCCCUUAACAGUUCACAAAAUAUAAACUGCAUUGCUGACAACCCAGUCUCUCUCAGCACAUGAGAUGACAAUUUUGCCAUCAGUUAACCAUUCUUAUCACUGGCCAAUUGUGCUGUAAAGUAUCCAAACAAUGUCAACAUUGUCUAGUCCCGUAACUCCCAUUAUCUGUACCACCAAUGCAACAGUAUCCAAGCCCAAUAAAUCCUCAUAAGAGAGCUGGUCAGCAUGCUGAAAUCAUAGCACAAACAAGCAGUUGAACUUGCACUAAAACCUGUUUCCAAGCUUCAGUCAUCCCUCCAAAAAUUUCAAAAUAGUAUAAACAGGCAAUUCUCUCCAUAUAUGAAUACAUAGAAAAUCUUAAAGCCUUCAUUAUUUGGAAGAUGCUUAGCAAAUCAGUAACAGCAAAAUACACAGAACAUUUGCAAUAACUGUAAUUUCAUGUUUGCAUAUGAAAUACAAGAAUUGUAAGUAACUAAUACAUUUCCAGCCAGGGAGUAGGAGAACAACUAAAACACAUUUUGACUCAAUUUACCAAAGAGAAACACAAAAGCACAAAGUCUUCUCUCUCUCUCUCUCUCU